UUUUGCAAAUCUAAUGGACGGAUUUGAACCAGCUACCUAAGGAUCAUUGUUGACAAUACAUCUAUAGUCCUCCGCUCUGCCAACUGAGCUAUCUA
Molecule: non-coding RNA, 95 nt
Organism: Cordylochernes scorpioides
Lineage: Eukaryota; Metazoa; Arthropoda; Arachnida; Pseudoscorpiones; Chernetidae
Source: the annotation of a GenBank genome assembly